UUUAAAUGAGUUGCGUGCAGUUAGGACAAUGAAACAAGCACACAAAGUAAAAAGAAAGUCAACGUUGCUGGACUUCACACAGAUUGAUGUAACUGCAUACUUAAUGGUUAUCGUAGCGUCAGCGUUAGCAUUCAAUGUUUACAUCCAGGUCUAUUUUUAGGAUACAUCAUUAAGUGAUCGGCGGGUCAAUGGAAAUUUACCCACAGAGUCAAGCGGUAAACAUGUAAGUGAAUGUUUUGAAGGAAUGUACAGUGAAGUGACAGUUAUCCCGAAAGUCUAGCCACGAUCGACAUCAACUGGUGUAUUUUAGAUCUAUUGAAAACUGCAAAAAUAUAGCAAGACAUUUCUAUUGUAGAAGAUAAAUUGGAUCCAAAUCAACGAACUUGAACAAUGCAAGCCAUGUGAUGCAGAAAAGGUUGUCGCACAGAAGUAUAUUCAAUUUUGGAAUCCCGUACUUCGUAAUAAGAAAUCCAUUAUCAUCUGUCCAUCCAAGUGAUUAGCCAUCCUCGUCAUCGGGAGAUGGAAUCAGUAGGCUUGAUUUUACUGAUUCCAUUCUGUGUUUGUUUUCUGUUGCUAUUCAUAGUGUGCUGUUUUGCGGACGAAAUCAAGAAAAUGUGUCGUAUGCCAAACCAACUUCCGCAACAUUAUAUUCCAAGUGAUCGCGCCGAAGCCGAUCGUGAACGCCGUAGGCGUGAAAGACGGCGCCAGCGCCAAAUGCGAGCAGGUGUUCAUGGACAAAGACAGUUAGAAUCGGACAUCGAAUCAUUGAUGGGUUCACGCAGUCGAAAUUCUUCGGGUAGUUCAGGGUACAGUUCAGAGGUUAGUCCAUUCCUCGUUUUGGCGGUAGUUACGUCAGAGGUGCAACCAAAUGGGGAAGUUGUUACUUCACACGUGGACGCACAAAGUUUGUUGCAAUCAGAGACUUCAAAUGGACCAGGGCUUAGUGCGUCACAGACAAUCAACUACAGUAUAGAAGACAAGGAGAAAGUCUAGCAUACCACCAGUGUUCCAUUUGAUCAUUUAUUGUAAUUUUAUAUAUGUUGUUACGCUUACUUUUGUGAUACAAACAAUGUAAUCAGGACGAGAUAAGUUUUUUGUGUCUUGUCUCUGAAUGAAAUGAUCGCUUUAAUAUUCUACAUGCUCAAAACAUUGCGUAUCGAACAAAUACUUAAAUACCGGUAUAUGCUCCUGUUUACUUAAUUGAAGUUCAUUUAUACUAUGGAAUUAUUACUAACUGAAUGGUCGUAAGUUAGAAAAGUCAGUCUGUCCAUUCUGAGGACAGGUGAGCUAUCUCGUCGUCUGGCAUCAUUUUCACCUGUUAUAACAAGAUUCCAGUGACCAUUAGAACCUAUAACCUGUCAUCGAAUUUUUUACUUUUUCUGAGUCAUUAUCGAGACGUACAUUAAUUCUAAGGAUUGUCCAUCUGCAGUAUGCAUCCAAUCUGUUGUUAGAUGUUACCAAUAAUGAAAACUUCUAUUUGGACUCUGAAUAUAUACAUUAUAUGAGUAAUUACUCCUAUCUCAAUAUUUCACUUCUGCUGUUUGAUCACUUUGCUGUUAGAAAUUUUAAGUUUAGUCAUGAAAUCUUAGCUUCACACUUGUGUUGAAUAUUUUGAAUUACUGCCUGCAGUCCUACCAUGUGUUGAUACAUCGUGUUUUACAUAUUUUGAAUCAGCCGAAGGGUAUCUAAUGAGAUUAGCCAUUCAGUCAAUAAGUUUCUGUGAACAUUUAUUUUCAUGAAUCUCAAUUUUUUUAUGCGGAUUUAAAUGUUUGUCUCCUUCAUUUGUAUUUUUAUUGUAUGUCAUGUAUAUUAAUUAUAUUUGAGAACAAUUUACAAGUUAGUACUUUUUACCACCCUGCGUAUUUUUAAUUAUAUUGUACAAUCAAAUUAAGUUAUAUAAAUGUGAGUGUUACAUGAUGUAUGAACAAUCAAGAUAUGUGUAAUUUAAUGAUUCUGUUUUCCCGGUAAAAACUUGAAAGUACAAUAAAUGCAACAGCUACA
Molecule: long non-coding RNA, 2001 nt
Organism: Saccostrea echinata
Lineage: Eukaryota; Metazoa; Mollusca; Bivalvia; Ostreida; Ostreidae
Exons: 2
Source: RefSeq, a predicted model, not a curated record